CUGCAGUUGCCUGAUGGGGAUGAUGGGCUCCGUGGUCAGGUUCCUGCGCCUGAAGCGGAAAAAGGAGAGCCGGGCCAGUUGGGUCCUUCCAAGACGGAUGAUCUUCAUGGAGGAAGGGACGCCUCCCGGUUGGACCCAGCUGAACAGGCAGCUAAUGCGACCGAGAGCAGGGAAGCCUUUAGGGAACCGACUGAGGAAUCAGCCACCCGAAGACCAGCUGACCUGGCCGUGCCAGAGACCAGGGCUGGGCCACCGAAGGGCACGGAGAUGACCCUGGAGAUGAGCCCGGAGGGCCAACCCUCCUCCCGUUGUGACCAAGGCAGUCCUGGAAGGGGGGCUGCGUCUUCCACCGCAGGGACAGAGGCCGAAGAGCCCCCCCAUUCAGGAAAGAGCCGGAAAAGAGCAUCCGAAGCACCGGUGGAAGCAGGUGGGGAGGAGAUGGAGCCGGAUCCUGUCAACCUGGCCGGUCAGCCUGAAAAGCCCCCUUUGGACUCCGCUUCAGAACCAGCAGAAGACGGCAGGGUUGCCUGGAAGGGCUUCCCAGAAGAUGCCAGUCUGGACUUGGUCCAAGGGAGCGGGCCUGUGGCUGGCAGGCUUCCUGGGCAGCCAGGCACGGUAACUGUGGCUUCACCUCUUGGAGACGCCGUUAAAGGGCCUCCGGCAAGAGAGGCGUCCAGCAGUCCCCAGUCAGGGAAAGGUGGAUACGCUCAGAAGGCCAGGAUGGUGCCUGAGGACGCCAACAGGCUGCCGGCCCCAGAAAGUGCCUGCCGGCUGGGCAAGGACCCAGAGGCCUCUGCCGGGCACAGAGGAGGCUUCGGGUGCUCGGAGCCCUGCGAAGAAGAGAAACCAAACCGCUCUCCUCCUAGGAAAAGACCUCAAAACGGGGACUUGGAUUUGGAAGGCGCUGCCUGUCACCCAAAGAAGCUCUUCCGGGAGGAUUUGGCUUCUGUUCGGGGCCCUGGGAGUGACCCAGCGGCAUCUCCUGUGGCGCCUCCUCCUCCUCCUCAUCUGAGGGAGAGCGUCGAGCAAUUUGGCAAAACAAUAGAGAAUUUCCUGGAUCAGUGCAGGAACCGAGUCCCUCUGUGCUCCGACCCCACGGAAAGAAACGGAGAAGCUCUCGCUCAGAUAGUGAGAAAUUACUUUAAAAGCAACGUUGACUCCGAUGCACCUGAAAGGGGGGAAGCCGAAGAAGCUCCGUCUUCAGAAACUGCAGCCGCAAAGGGGAUCGGCUGCCAGUCGGAAGGGGGGGGCGCAGGAGGCCCCAGGGGAAGCCCGGGCGGUGAUGGGCCUGGCUCAC
RNAcentral lists this long non-coding RNA (1297 nucleotides) under Notechis scutatus (mainland tiger snake). RNAcentral's name for it is "lncRNA (ENSNSUG00000018521.1)". Lineage: Eukaryota; Metazoa; Chordata; Lepidosauria; Squamata; Elapidae. The record is from RNAcentral.